Molecule: long non-coding RNA, 85 nt
Filed under: Castor canadensis (American beaver)
Lineage: Eukaryota; Metazoa; Chordata; Mammalia; Rodentia; Castoridae
Description: Deleted in lymphocytic leukemia 2 conserved region 5 (ENSCCNG00000008630.1)
Rfam family: Deleted in lymphocytic leukemia 2 conserved region 5
Source: RNAcentral
GUCAUGUUCCAAUGUACUAUGUGAGUAUUCAAUCAAAGAAGUUAGGCUGUUUUCCAAGAAUUGGUUCUCUCCUAAAGGUCAAACC